AAGAGAAUAAUUUACCUUUCCGAGUAAUCAAUAGCUACUUUUUUUCUUUUUUUAUUCUAUGCAGAUUGUUGGGUAUAUUUUGGAAGUGUGCCAGAAUUGGCGAACGGAAGAGUCCUUAUGUUGCAGUAUGCUGUAUAGUAAUGGCCUUCAGCAUCCUCUUCAUACAGUAGCUGGGGAAAAUGCCAGAAUUUAGUUGCCAUCAGAUUUGAUUGUGAACAAGGACUGACUGCAGAAAAUAAUGGAAAGGAUGUUUAACUCUUUUAUCUCCGAACAUUGAAUGAGAUAAAUUUCCAGAUGCUGUUCUCUAUUUUAAUGUUAUUGGACCAAUGUUCUGUAUAAACAAUUAAGAUGUAACCAUUUAAUAGUCUGUAACAAUCAACCUCAGUACUGUCACUACAAUAUUACAUUCUGCAUAUGUUAUUCUGUUGUAUCAGAUACGAAAUUUUAGUGAGGUAUCUCUAAGGCACAUAGUAGAAAACAAAAUUGGUUAAUUACUCAAGUUCCUUUCACUGUGAUUUGGAAAUGAUUUAAUCUUUAUAGAAUGAGACCCUUUUUUGGACUAGCUUUUUUAUUAAAAUGGCUCAAUUUGUGUUGAUAAGGAUUGCAUUAAUAUUUAAUAGUGCUUGCUUUUCCUCUGGGCACACCAUUUUGAUCAUUAACCAGAGUACCUCUACUCUUAGCAAACUCUAGUUUAUGACAAGUAUUUAAAAUAUUUAAAA
This 719-nucleotide small RNA is filed under the name Pan troglodytes (chimpanzee). RNAcentral's name for it is "retained intron". Lineage: Eukaryota; Metazoa; Chordata; Mammalia; Primates; Hominidae. The record is from RNAcentral.